CAGUAGCCGCGGGAAUACAGAGGGUGCGAGCGUUAAUCGGAUUUACUGGGCGUAAAGCGUGCGUAGGCGGCUAAUUGAGUCGGAUGUGAAAUCCCUGAGCUUAACUUAGGAAUUGCAUUCGAUACUGGGAAGCUAGAGUAUGGGAGAGGAUGGUAGAAUUCCAGGUGUAGCGGUGAAAUGCGUAGAGAUCUGGAGGAAUACCGAUGGCGAAGGCAGCCAUCUGGCCUAAUACUGACGCUGAGGUACGAAAGCAUGGGGAGCAAACAGGAUUAGAGACCCCUGUAGUCCCUGUCUCUUAUAC
Molecule: ribosomal RNA, 301 nt
Filed under: uncultured bacterium
Lineage: Bacteria
Description: partial 16S ribosomal RNA
Rfam family: Bacterial small subunit ribosomal RNA
Source: RNAcentral